Molecule: ribosomal RNA, 253 nt
Filed under: uncultured bacterium
Lineage: Bacteria
Description: partial 16S ribosomal RNA
Rfam family: Archaeal small subunit ribosomal RNA
Source: RNAcentral
UACCAGCACCCCGAGUGGUCGGGACGUUUAUUGGGCCUAAAGCAUCCGUAGCCGGUUCUACAAAUCUUCCGUUAAAUCCACCUGCUCAACAGAUGGGCUGCGGAAGAUACUAUGGAGCUAGGAGGCGGGAGAGGCAAGCGGUACUCGAUGGGUAGGGGUAAAAUCCGUUGAUCCAUUGAAGACCACCAGUGGCGAAGGCGGCUUGCCAGAACGCGCUCGACGGUGAGGGAUGAAAGCUGGGGGAGCAAACCGG